GCCGCCCCGCCGCCCCGGCGCCGGCCCCUCUCACCCUUUCAUCCUCUGCCCGGGGCCUGACGCGGGCCGGCGGAUCCCCGGCCUCACAUCGGAGUGAGAGGCGCUGGCGAUGGACCGGGAGGCUCGGCUGCCGCUGCUGCUGCUCCCCCUGGGCUCCGGCGGGAGCCUUUCCCGGUCAGGCAAGAGGGCCAAGAAGGCAGGGCUGCCGGGGCCGCACUAGAAGAGGCGGCAGCCUCCUACAGCACCACUACAGGCACUGCGAGGACAUAACACCAGAGAGCCGCUCCUCGGCCUCCGAAACGACAACUUUCCUACCAUCUUGGAGGCCGAGCAAAGGGGGGCCGGGGGGAAAAGUGCACCCGCUCCCGAUAAAGUACACAUCCCGACUUCUCAUCUCCGGAAAACCGUCCACACCGGCCGUCUACACCGGCGCCUGGGGCGGGGGGAGCGGGGAAGACCCCGGGGGUGCUUGAGGAAAAC
This 480-nucleotide long non-coding RNA is filed under the name Vulpes vulpes (red fox). RNAcentral's name for it is "lncRNA (ENSVVUG00000016928.1)". The record is from RNAcentral. Lineage: Eukaryota; Metazoa; Chordata; Mammalia; Carnivora; Canidae.